UUCGGGGUACUCGAGUGGCGAACGGGUGAGUAACACGUGGGUGAUCUGCCCUGCACUUUGGGAUAAGCCUGGGAAACUGGGUCUAAUACCGAAUAGGACCACGCGCUUCAUGGUGUGUGGUGGAAAGCUUUUGCGGUGUGGGAUGGGCCCGCGGCCUAUCAGCUUGUUGGUGGGGUAAUGGCCUACCAAGGCGACGACGGGUAGCCGGCCUGAGAGGGUGACCGGCCACACUGGGACUGAGAUACGGCCCAGACUCCUACGGGAGGCAGCAGUGGGGAAUAUUGCACAAUGGGCGCAAGCCUGAUGCAGCGACGCCGCGUGAGGGAUGACGGCCUUCGGGUUGUAAACCUCUUUCAAUAGGGACGAAGCGCAAGUGACGGUACCUAUAGAAGAAGCACCGGCCAACUACGUGCCAGCAGCCGCGGUAAUACGUAGGGUGCGAGCGUUGUCCGGAAUUACUGGGCGUAAAGAGCUCGUAGGUGGUUUGUCGCGUUGUUCGUGAAAACUCACAGCUUAACUGUGGGCGUGCGGGCGAUACGGGCAGACUAGAGUACUGCAGGGGAGACUGGAAUUCCUGGUGUAGCGGUGGAAUGCGCAGAUAUCAGGAGGAACACCGGUGGCGAAGGCGGGUCUCUGGGCAGUAACUGACGCUGAGGAGCGAAAGCGUGGGGAGCGAACAGGAUUAGAUACCCUGGUAGUCCACGCCGUAAACGGUGGGUACUAGGUGUGGGUUCCUUCCUUGGGAUCCGUGCCGUAGCUAACGCAUUAAGUACCCCGCCUGGGGAGUACGGCCGCAAGGCUAAAACUCAAAGGAAUUGACGGGGGCCCGCACAAGCGGCGGAGCAUGUGGAUUAAUUCGAUGCAACGCGAAGAACCUUACCUGGGUUUGACAUGCACAGGACGCCGGCAGAGAUGUCGGUUCCCUUGUGGCCUGUGUGCAGGUGGUGCAUGGCUGUCGUCAGCUCGUGUCGUGAGAUGUUGGGUUAAGUCCCGCAACGAGCGCAACCCUUGUCCUAUGUUGCCAGCGGGUUAUGCCGGGGACUCGUAGGAGACUGCCGGGGUCAACUCGGAGGAAGGUGGGGAUGACGUCAAGUCAUCAUGCCCCUUAUGUCCAGGGCUUCACACAUGCUACAAUGGCCGGUACAAAGGGCUGCGAUGCCGUGAGGUGGAGCGAAWYCUUUCAAAGCCGGUCUCAGUUCGGRUCSGGGUCUGCAACUCGACCCCGUGAAGUCGGAGUCGCUAGUAAUCGCAGAAUCAGCAACGCUGCGGUGAAUACGUUCCCGGGCCUUGUACACACCGCCCGUCACGUCAUGAAAGKCGGUAACACCCGAAGCC
This 1335-nucleotide ribosomal RNA is filed under the name Mycolicibacterium mucogenicum. RNAcentral's name for it is "bacterial SSU rRNA". It matches the Rfam family "Bacterial small subunit ribosomal RNA", at positions 81 to 1428 of the family's 1533-position model. The record is from RNAcentral. Lineage: Bacteria; Bacillati; Actinomycetota; Actinomycetes; Mycobacteriales; Mycobacteriaceae.